UUUUUUUAUUUUUUUUAUGUCUUUUUGCCAUUUCUUGGGCCGCUCCUACGGCAUAUGGAGGUUCCCAGGCUAGGGGUCCAAUCGGAGCGGUAGCCACCGGCCUACACCAGAGCCACAGCAAUUCGAGAUCUAAGCCGCCUCUGCGAGCUACACCAGAGCUCACGGCAACGCCAGAUCCUUAACCCACUGAGCAAGGCCAGGGAUUGAACCUGCAACCUCACGGUUCCUAGUCGGAUUCAUUAACCACUGAGCCAUGACGGGAACUCCUAGAGGUCAUUUAGAACUACACUUUGGCUGUCACUUCAGGUAAAAUUCAUUUAAAGUUAUUAAGUAAAGGCAUAGCCUGUGAGAAAAGGCACGUGUUUAACAUCAGGGAGAAGAUACAAGAGAGAUCUUGUAUCUCCUCUCCUUCCUUGGGAGUGUUUCAGGGAAAACAAAAAAAAAGACUCACUUAAAAGUUUGGUAUAGAAGAAUAAGCACUGGCCUACAAUAUUGGAGUUCUUAGUUCAAGUACCUAUAAUACCAUUCACUAAUCCUGAGACCACAGACAAGUCAGUUAACCUCCUAACCUCCAUUACUCUGUUUUCUUUUAAUAAAAGAGAGAUUAAAUUAUUUGCCCUAAAAACAUCAAGAGGAUGUGGAAAGGAUCAAAGUGUAAUAACAAGAGUAGCUUAUGUUUAUUGAAUACCCACAAGGGGUAGGACAGAGUGCUGAGUGCAUUCCACAAAUAAUCUUUAUUAGUGACAUUGAAGAAGGUUGGCAACAGUGAGAUGGGAACAAAGGGAUGGUGACUGACAGAAGAGGAUGACAGAAAAGUAAAGGCUCUGGGGAAAAGUAGGUAAAAUCUAUUUCUAAAUCAAUACCGAGAGCUGAACUUUUGGGCCCUCCAAUGGUUGUAGGAUUCUACCACAGGGAUGAGCUCUGUUGCCAUAUCAUGUAUUAUCCACCGCUCCACACUGAGAAAAGGUGACCUCUAGAGAAGGCAUCAAUAAUGUCAAAAAUAUGCCUGUUACAUUUGAUAAAAAGUAAGCCUUCUGCAUCUUAGUUUGAUAAUUUUCCUCUGCUACUCAAUGUUUCGCUUAGCUUAACAUGUUUAUAUCUUUAAUAUGUGCAUAAAAACAAACAUACACACGUUACAUAAAAUAUAUAAAUCUGUGUGUGUGUGUGUGUGUUUCUGUUUAUGUGGGUUAGUAUUUCAUUUACGACAAACGAGAACCCACCCGCUGAAAUGUUAAACACUGAAGACAAGAGAAGGCCCUCUAAAAAGGGUGUAUCUCCUGAAACUGAGGUAGAGCGAAAGGAGAAAAGGGGUCAAAAAUCCACUUUUCUUGCAUCCCUAUGUAUUCCAUAGAGGUGGCUCCUUCCUGUGGUACAGUGUUUUUAUAUAGGUGACUUGUGUUCAUCCUGCUUUUUUUGACAAACCGGUACUGAAGAUCAUUUAACUUAAUAGACACAGGCGGGCACACGCACGUGUGUACACACACACACACACACACACACACACACAUGUGAUCAUAACAGUUGCAACACGGCGUCCUUAUGGCUAAAGAAAAUGAUUAUCCACUUAUCCUCAGAAGUGAUAAUGGGAAUGAACCAGCAUUGCGAAUGUCCCUAGUGUCUGUGACUGUUCUCAUUACGUUAGAGGACAUCCCAGCUGGGUACAGAGGCAAAUAGCACACAAGGAAAAGGUCAAGUUUUCCAAACCUCUCAAACCCCAUAUUCCUGUUCCAAACAUGCGUAUGGAAGGAGAUGGAUUAAAACUCAAACUAGUUCAAACUAAGUUCUCCCAGUUCAUGUAGGCACCAUAUGCCCAAACCAAACAUCCAAUGUUAAUUUCUUGCUUCUGUUAGAUGGAGUCUGCGCAGGAAUUAUUUUCCCACGGUGUUUUCACAGCCUGUUUCCCUUGUCUCCAAUCCAAAUGUGAAGAGAUAGAAACUAAUAGAUAGUGGAAAAAAUGGAUUUGGUUUGAAUGACAGACAAUUUUACUGUCUUUUUAAAGAUGACAACAAAUAUUGCUUCCAAAUAUGAAUAAAAGAGUUUUUUUCCACAUCAUUUCCUGUGCUGCUAUUGCCAAUUAUAAAUAUAAGCAUAUGGCAUUUAUAUAAGCCAUGCUUCCAAGAAAGCCUCUGAGUAUGCAAUCCUGACAGUAUUUAAUUUUAAGGUGAACUUAAAUGCCAAGUAUGACUUGAAAUCAUAGUAAUAUUGAUUUUUUAAAAUUUUGAUUCUGGAGGCUUAUCUUAUUGACAUGCAUUACCGGAAAUUCAUUGAAAUGUAGUCAUCAAUUAAGAACUUUUUAAAAACAAUGGGAAGUUUGUUACAUCCUGAAAUAGAGUUAGAAUGUAUACAGCUAACAAAGAGCUUAAAUGACCCAUUGGUAGCACCAGAGAUUUUCUAGACAUUCAUUUGAUAUGUGUGAAGUUACAGAACAGGCAUAACAUUAUAACCUUAUUUUUUUAUAUUCAACAUGACAAGAGAAUACAAUUUUAUGUAUAAAUUUAAUUGAUACGAGUGAAAUCUAUAAGACCCAUGCCUGGAAUAUGGAUGCAUUACUUAUUAGGACUUCCUUUCCUUACAAUAGAAAAUAUAAAUUAUGUCAAAUAACAGGAUACAUGCACACAGAUAGGCCUAGAGACCCAGGUCCCUGUUGAUUUACUGACAAAGGAAACUCCUAAAAUCUUCUGUGACAAGACGGUCCUCCUCCCAGAAAGGGAAAAUGAAAAUAAGUCUUUUAUUUUGGAAAAGCAUUUGAUGACCCCAUGUGUGAAGAUCAAUAGUCACACAUUCACCACUCAAACUCGAUCCACGAGUAGAGGUUAUUAGACAAAUAUCUUAAAAUUCUUUAAGGUUCUCAUUUUAAUUAUGCCAUGUCUCAGUCAAAGGUACAAUUCAGGCAGCAUUGGCCAAGCCACUGGCCCUGAAAGUAAGAAAGAAACAUACAGCUGUAGAGUUAGAAAGAACUUUGAGAAGAAAGGUGCUCUAUCUGCAGAGCCGCCAUUAAGUCACCCCUCACAAUCCUUUGCCCUCUCCUACGGAAAUUCGCCCCCGGAUGGCUGGUCUCGUCUCUUCCGCUCUGGGGCCAGCUCAAUGACUUUGUUCAUUCUCACCAAAUUUUGCAUACUAUUUUCCAGAAAAAAAAAAAAA
RNAcentral lists this long non-coding RNA (3141 nucleotides) under Sus scrofa (pig). RNAcentral describes it as "lncRNA (ENSSSCG00015071454.1)". The record is from RNAcentral. Lineage: Eukaryota; Metazoa; Chordata; Mammalia; Artiodactyla; Suidae.